Molecule: ribosomal RNA, 504 nt
Filed under: Cervidellus vexilliger
Lineage: Eukaryota; Metazoa; Nematoda; Chromadorea; Rhabditida; Cephalobidae
Description: SSU rRNA
Rfam family: Eukaryotic small subunit ribosomal RNA
Source: RNAcentral
CGCGAAUGGCUCAUUAUAACAGCUAUAAUUUACUUGAUCUUGACACAAUCCUACUUGGAUAACUGUGGUAAUUCUAGAGCUAAUACAUGCAUUAAAGCUCUGACCUCACGGGAAGAGUGCAUUUAUUAGAACAAAACCAAGCGGCUUCGGCUGUUUCUGGUUGACUCAUAGUAACUGAGCUGAUCGCAUGGUCUUGCACCGGCGACGUGUCUUUCAAGUAUCUGCCGUAUCAACUUUCGAUGGUAGUGUAUCUGACUACCAUGGUGAUCACGCGUAACGGAGAAUAAGGGUUCGGCUCCGGAGAGUUCGCCUGAGAAAUCGCGAACACAUCUAAGGAAGGCAGCAGGCGCGAAAAUUACCCACUCUCAGCACGAGGAGGUAGUGACGAAAAAUAACGAGACCGUUCUCUUAUGAGGCCGGUCAUCGGAAUGGGUACAAUUUAAACCCUUUAACGAGUAUCUAUGAGAGGGCAAGUCUGGUGCCAGCAGCCGCGGUAAUUCCAGC